This 180-nucleotide ribosomal RNA is filed under the name uncultured bacterium. RNAcentral describes it as "partial 16S ribosomal RNA". It matches the Rfam family "Bacterial small subunit ribosomal RNA", at positions 331 to 508 of the family's 1533-position model. The record is from RNAcentral.
CCAGACUCCUACGGGAGGCAGCAGUGAGGAAUAUUGGUCAAUGGGCGAGAGCCUGAACCAGCCAAGUAGCGUGCAGGAUGACGGCCCUAUGGGUUGUAAACUGCUUUUAUGCGGGGAUAAAGUGAGUCACGUGUGGCUUAUUGCAGGUACCGCAUGAAUAAGGACCGGCUAAUUCCGUGC